Molecule: ribosomal RNA, 274 nt
Filed under: uncultured bacterium
Lineage: Bacteria
Description: partial 16S ribosomal RNA
Rfam family: Bacterial small subunit ribosomal RNA
Source: RNAcentral
AUACGAAGGGGGCAAGCGUUGUUCGGAAUAACUGGGCGUAAAGCGUACGUAGGCGGACUGGAAAGUUGGGGGUGAAAUCCCGGGGCUCAACCCCGGAACUGCCUCCAAAACUUCCAAUCUAGAGAUCGAGAGAGGUGAGUGGAAUUCCAAGUGUAGAGGUGAAAUUCGUAGAUAUUCGGAGGAACACCAGUGGCGAAGGCGGCUCACUGGCUCGAUACUGACGCUGAGGUACGAAAGCGUGGGGAGCAAGCAGGAUUAGAAACCCUAGUAGUCC